Molecule: ribosomal RNA, 363 nt
Filed under: uncultured Streptococcus sp.
Lineage: Bacteria; Bacillati; Bacillota; Bacilli; Lactobacillales; Streptococcaceae
Description: bacterial SSU rRNA
Rfam family: Bacterial small subunit ribosomal RNA
Source: RNAcentral
CUUCGGUACAUCGGUGGACAGGUGGUGCAUGGUUGUCGUCAGCUCGUGUCGUGAGAUGUUGGGUUAAGUCCCGCAACGAGCGCAACCCCUAUUGUUAGUUGCCAUCAUUCAGUUGGGCACUCUAGCGAGACUGCCGGUAAUAAACCGGAGGAAGUGGGAUGACGUCAAAUCAUCAUGCCCCUUAUGACCUGGGCUACACACGUGCUACAAUGGUUGGUACAACGAGUUGCGAGUCGGUGACGGCGAGCUAAUCUCUUAAAGCCAAUCUCAGUUCGGAUUGUAGGCUGCAACUCGCCUACAUGAAGUCGGAAUCGCUAGUAAUCGCGGAUCAGCACGCCGCGGUCGAAUACGUUCCCGGGCCUU